This 253-nucleotide ribosomal RNA is filed under the name uncultured bacterium. RNAcentral's name for it is "partial 16S ribosomal RNA". It matches the Rfam family "Bacterial small subunit ribosomal RNA", at positions 524 to 776 of the family's 1533-position model. The record is from RNAcentral.
UACGAAGGGGGCUAGCGUUGCUCGGAAUCACUGGGCGUAAAGCGCACGUAGGCGGAUUGCUAAGUCAGGGGUGAAAUCCUGGAGCUCAACUCCAGAACUGCCUUUGAUACUGGCGGUCUCGAGUCCGGGAGAGGUGAGUGGAACUGCGAGUGUAGAGGUGAAAUUCGUAGAUAUUCGCAAGAACACCAGUGGCGAAGGCGGCUCACUGGCCCGGUACUGACGCUGAGGUGCGAAAGCGUGGGGAGCGAACAGG